This 248-nucleotide ribosomal RNA is filed under the name uncultured bacterium. RNAcentral's name for it is "partial 16S ribosomal RNA". It matches the Rfam family "Bacterial small subunit ribosomal RNA", at positions 562 to 793 of the family's 1533-position model. The record is from RNAcentral.
CGGUCGGGAACGUAAACGCGCAUGCGAGGCCGCUUGUUAAGUCAGAUGUGAAAGCCCGGGGCUUUAACCUCGGAAUUGCAUUUGAAACUGGCAGGCUAGAGUCUUGUAGAGGGGGGUAGAAUUUCAGGUGUAGCGGUGAAAUGCGUAGAGAUCUGAAGGAAUACCAGUGGCGAAGGCGGCCCCCUGGACAAAGACUGACGCUCAGAUGCGAAAGCGUGGGGAGCAAACAGGAUUAGAUACCCUGGUAG